RNAcentral lists this ribosomal RNA (253 nucleotides) under uncultured bacterium. RNAcentral's name for it is "partial 16S ribosomal RNA". It matches the Rfam family "Bacterial small subunit ribosomal RNA", at positions 524 to 776 of the family's 1533-position model. The record is from RNAcentral.
UACGAAGGGUGCAAGCGUUACUCGGAUUUACUGGGCGUAAAGCGUGCGUAGGCGGUUUGUUAAGUCUGUCGUGAAAGCCCCGGGCUCAACCUGGGAAUGGCGUUGGAUACUGGCGAGCUAGAGUACGGUAGAGGAGAGUGGAAUUCCCGGUGUAGCAGUGAAAUGCGUAGAGAUCGGGAGGAACAUCAGUUGCGAAGGCGGCUCUCUGGACCAGUACUGACGCUGAGGCACGAAAGCGUGGGGAGCAAACAGG